Molecule: long non-coding RNA, 661 nt
Filed under: Homo sapiens (human)
Lineage: Eukaryota; Metazoa; Chordata; Mammalia; Primates; Hominidae
Description: HSALNT0293008
Source: RNAcentral
ACAACUGGCUACAAAUAUCAACAGGCUUUAACAGUCUUCUUUCCUUCAAGUCCAGUUCUUUGAAAGUCCAAAUUUGCUCUGAACUGACUUCAAGCAAGUGCCCACUCUUGAACAAAUUACUGAGGCUGGAGGAUAAAGACACAAAUUGGCCAAACUUGGAUUACCUGCCUUCUGCAUCUUAAAGGAGUCAGUCCCAACUACAAAUUUAAGAGGAUCACAGAAACACCCACAAACUUACGAGGAUCACAGAAAACACCCCUACACCAACUUAUAGCCAAUCUAUUCAACCUGCAUUGUUAGCAGGUCACCUCUCCUGGAUCUCUGCCUGUAGUGCCCAAUUAAGAAUGGAAGGAGGAGAUUUUUCAGCUUUUGAAGUCUGCAUACCUUCAAGGAAAUUCUUCAAAAACAGCCAAGACAUUUUAAGAUGAGGAGCUACAGAACAGGGUACAUGCCCCACAGUCUUCAAUACUUUUUAUUAUUGUUUCAAGAAAACUGGAUAAAUUCAUUCUGAACAUCACAGACUUGAAAGUCAUUGUUACCAUGCCUUUGAGAAUGCCUAUAGUUAUCAUUGCCAUCAUCUCAAAGGAGAAGAAUUCUUUAACUCUUAUUGUAUAUGCAAUUUUGAAUAAAAAAAUCAAGUUGCAUUGUUAUUGAAAUUAAA